GGAAUCUUGCGCAAUGCGCGAAAGCGUGACGCAGCAACGCCGCGUGAGGGAAGACGGCCUUCGGGUUGUAAACCUCUUUCAGUUGGGACGAAGCUUCGCCGGUGAACAGCCGGCUGGAGUGACGGUACCUUCAGAAGAAGCCCCGGCUAACUACGUGCCAGCAGCCGCGGUAAUACGUAGGCAGCAAGCGUUGUUCGGAAUUACUGGGCGUAAAGGGCGCGUAGGCGGCCUGCUAAGUCGAACGUGAAAUCCCCGGGCUCAACCCGGGAACUGCGUUCGAUACUGGUUGGCUUGAAUCCGGGAGAGGGAUGCGGAAUUCCAGGUGUAGCGGUGAAAUGCGUAGAUAUCUGGAGGAACACCGGUGGCGAAGGCGGCAUCCUGGACCGGCAUUGACGCUGAGGCGCGAAAGCCAGGGGAGCAAACGGGA
Molecule: unclassified non-coding RNA, 427 nt
Filed under: plant metagenome
Description: partial contains 5.8S ribosomal RNA, internal transcribed spacer 2, and large subunit ribosomal RNA
Rfam family: Bacterial small subunit ribosomal RNA
Source: RNAcentral